UGACAGUACUCCUACGGGGAGGCAGCAGUGGGGGAAUAGUUGCACAAUGGGCGCAAGCCUGAUGCAGCCAUGCCGCGUGUGUGAAGAAGGCCUUCGGGUUGUAAAGCACUUUCAGUCGUGAGGAAGGUAGUGUAGUUAAUAGCUGCAGUAUUUGACGUUAGCGACAGAAGAAGCACCGGCUAACUCCGUGCCAGCAGCCGCGGUAAUACGGAGGGUGCGAGCGUUAAUCGGAAUUACUGGGCGUAAAGCGCAUGCAGGUGGUUUGUUAAGUCAGAUGUGAAAGCCCGGGGCUCAACCUCGGAAUAGCAUUUGAAACUGGCAGACUAGAGUACUGUAGAGGGGGGUAGGAAGUUUCAGGUAUAGCGGUGAAAUGCGUAGAGAUCUGAAGGAAUACCGGUGGCGAAGGCGGCCCCCUGGACAGAUACUGACACUCAGAUGCGAAAGCGUGGGGAGCAAACAGGAUUAGAUACCCUGGUAG
RNAcentral lists this ribosomal RNA (478 nucleotides) under uncultured bacterium. RNAcentral's name for it is "bacterial SSU rRNA". It matches the Rfam family "Bacterial small subunit ribosomal RNA", at positions 328 to 793 of the family's 1533-position model. The record is from RNAcentral.